AUACAAAAGCCCGUCAAUAGGCCCGUAACCAAAGGCCCAACCUGGAAGCCCAUGAAAAAAAGACUGCCCUUGUUAGCAUUUACUAGCCCGUUUGCAAUAGACACGCCGCAAUGUGAAAGCCAGACUUUGAAGCCCAUGAAAAAUGAACCAACCCAUUUAACCUCAUCAAGGGUUCAAGAUUUUUUUUGUCGUAGCUACAGAAAGGUGGGAAAUUUGCAGAGGAAGAACAUUGCAUCUCCGAGCUCUGCAGCAAUGUCUUUAAUGGAGAAAGCCAUGAAACAAUCUGCUCUACGUUUUUUGAUUCCAAUUCCUUAUUCCGUUUAUCCACGACAGUUCAGCGUUAGACCCUCUGCAAUUUCAACGAACGCCGCGAACCAGACGAAGAUGGUAAAUGGUGGAGCCCUAAUUCUUUGUUGCUACGAUUCCAGCGGCAAUGCUUCGUCGUCUUGGUCUUCGAAGCCUGCGGUCCCAGCCACCAUAACCACAGCUCCACCGGUCAUCAAGAGAAGGAAGAGGUACCGGAAGCAGUACCCUGGAGAGAGCGAAGGCAUUACUGAGGAGAUGAGAUUCAUCGCCAUGAGACUCCGCAACAUUAAUGGCAAGAAGCAUACGCAUAAUAAACGUGAGGAUGAUAAAGACGAAGACGACGACAAAGAAGACAAUGUUACCCAAGAAGAUUCAACUUCCAAUGAAUUUCAGGAAGGAGGAAAAGGAAAAUCAAAUUCAGAUGGAGAUGAAGACGAUUGUGAUGAUGGUGGGUCCAAAACUUGGCAGCCGAGCAUGGAAGGUUUCCUCAAGUACUUGGUUGAUAGCGAGGUCGUCUUCAACACCGUGGAGCGCAUUGUCGAUGAUUCCAACGACGUCGCUUAUGCUUACUUCAGGAAAACAGGGUUGGAACGAUCGAAUAGGCUUUCGAGAGAUAUAGAAUGGUUUAGGGAAAAGGGAAUGGAGAUUCCAGAGCCUAGUAGUCCAGGAGUUUCAUAUGCCAAGUAUCUGGAGGAACUUGCAGAGAAGAGUGCCCCGCAGUUUCUGUGCCAUUUCUACAAUAUAUAUUUCUCACAUGUAGCAGGAGGCCAGGUCAUAACAAGGCAGGUCUCAGAUAAGCUUCUUGAUGGAAGGGAGCUGGAAUUUAAUAGGUGGGAUGGGGAUGUAGAAGAGUUGAUGAAAGGUUUACGUGAAAAGCUCAACAUGCUUGGAGAGGUUUAAUCCCUUCCCUUCCAUUCCCUGAGGCUGUUUACUGUUAUGGAUGCUUGCUUUUAAGCAUUUGGGGUCAUUUCUGGAUAUUUACUUAAUCCGUAAAAAUUUGUGAUGCAAUCAAAUACAGCAUUGGUCUCGGGAUGAGAAAAACAAAUGCUUGAGAGAAGCUACCAAGUCAUUCCGGUUUUUGGGGCAGAUAGUCCGCUUGAUCAUCUUGUGAAGCAAAAUUCAUUGUUGUGGCUCGGCUUCAUGGUAUGAAAACUGAGACACAUGACUUCUUCAUCACCUCCUUGGGAUUGUUACCAUCAGCUUCUCCUUCUUCUUACAGUUCAAAUUGGAGUUUUGUUUUUCGUUGAUGGCCCAUUUCUUGACUUGGUACUGAUAGUCUCCAAACCAAAAGACUGAAGCACGAGUGGUUGUACAUCAUCGUCCCCACUUACAUUAAGAGCUGGUGAUGAGGGUUUGAAAUUGAACGCUGUGCUAACAAGUAAUAAAACUAUGGAUUUAGAUAUUUGAGAUUCUGAAUUUAGAAUGUAUCUACAUGAAAUGGAACGCAGUUAUUAUUUGGUCCAUGUAGUUUUGUUUCUUUUAUCCAUGAAUGCGGAUACAAUUAUACUA
This is an RNA transcript of Ziziphus jujuba (common jujube), 1815 nucleotides long. It is a transcript of the gene named probable inactive heme oxygenase 2, chloroplastic, with no coding region annotated. The transcript has 4 exons. The record is from RefSeq and is a predicted model, not a curated record. NCBI's taxonomy places the organism in Eukaryota, Viridiplantae, Streptophyta, Magnoliopsida, Rosales, Rhamnaceae.